UCGAGCUUCUUGGGUGCUCCGCGGAGUUC
Molecule: small RNA, 29 nt
Filed under: Bombyx mori (domestic silkworm)
Lineage: Eukaryota; Metazoa; Arthropoda; Insecta; Lepidoptera; Bombycidae
Description: ovarian small RNA-28381
Source: RNAcentral